AAGAAAGGCGGAGGGAGGACGAGAGGGCACAGGAUGCAGCCCUGGGAGCGAAGCGUGCGCAGUCUGGCUAUGUGCCAGGAGAGGAAUGGGGAAGGGGAGCUCGGAGAACCAGCUGAGUGCAGCACAUUGGAAGGGUAGUGACGGGCCCCUGCCUUUUCUGUUUAAUGCCCUCCCUGCCAGCUUCUUCCCCUCGGCCCUGGCUCCUACCAGCCCAUGGAGUGAGUUCUGGGCUCGUCGGUGGAGAUGGGAGUUUCCUCAGAAGAGUUUUCAAUGGAGACAUGGUCCUUUUCAGGGAUCAGCUGAGCAGCUGGGCCCGAGGAGACAGAGGGAACAAGGGGCAGAGAAAGAGCUCGUGGUAAGAAACAGC
Ailuropoda melanoleuca (giant panda) is the source of this 367-nucleotide long non-coding RNA. RefSeq lists it as uncharacterized. The transcript is spliced from 3 exons. NCBI's taxonomy places the organism in Eukaryota, Metazoa, Chordata, Mammalia, Carnivora, Ursidae. The record is from RefSeq and is a predicted model, not a curated record.